GAGCAUGAGAUCAUUUAUUUGUGUUCCCUCUGCGAUGUACUGCUUUUGGCAAAGAUUUUCUCUUCAUUGUUGAUCAGUAGAACAGCUCUGAUGAAGUUGGAUAUUUUCAUGAUACAAAAACCUCCAUCAAUAUACUGGCAAACAUAAUAUAAGAAAUCAUAAAAACGACCACACCUCACUAAUGGAGACCACUACAAAGCAGCCCAGAGAAGCACUAAAAUUGACUGAUUGGCCUUCAGAGUUUACUUGUGAGUCUGUCCAGGGCCUGGGCUCCUUGUCUGGAGAUGGGCAGAGGACUCAUAGUGAGUGAGCCUCUGUGAGUCAUUGAUCCCUAGUGAGUCCUGUAAUGUGGAUGAAGCCAAGUAUCCUCAAAAGAUAAGACUACAGCCAAGGACACCUGGAGCCAAGCUCAACUAAGGACUGCCCCCUCAGCACUCACUCCUGGGUAGAAUAAUUUAACACCUUUCUUGGAGAAGUCCUUGAGUUUUUUCACCUUUCUUGAGCAUUCCACCUUCUUCUGAUAAUGAAAUAAAAGCAGCCCAUCCAGGGAAUGUCUUGGCCUUCAUACAGUUCAUUAGAAAAUUAGGAAAUUCUACAUCAUGGAUGCUAAUCAAGCACUUUUUUACAGAGUGUUUGAUGAUCAUAUGAAGAAAAGAAUUAUAAUGCUAUACAUGAAAAUUUUUAACCCUCUGAGAAUGCCAUUAGCUUGACUUGAGAAAAACACUUUAUUUUUUACAUUACAAUUUAAUGCUUUUUUCAUUUAUUUAUAUUUUGUUUUAAAUGUUUUUUUUUUUUUUUCACUAUUGAGGUCCAAAGGAAAGAUAUGCUUUAGAAAAAAAACAGAGAAUCCCCUUUUUCAGUUACAUUAGCAAUCUCUAUUUUGAAACAACAACAUUCAUUUAAAGCUGGCCAAUAUAUAGCCAAUUUAUCUAAGUAUUAUUUAAAUUUCUGUAUUUUAUCUAGUUGAAGCCUGAAAAUUACUCAUGUAAUGAAAAUAUUAUCUAUUAAACAUGACUUGAUGAAAGAAAAUUUAAUAAAUUUUAAAUUUGCACCAGUUCUUCAUAUUCUGUAUAAGAUUCUCUAUCUUAAAAGGAUUAUCAGUAAUUUGAGGUUAAAAUGGUAAAGGUUGUUUAUAGAAUGCCCUUUUAAUUUUUGUUUUCUUUUCAUUGGUACUAUAAAAUAAUUGUAUUCAGUAUGAAUA
Octodon degus (degu) is the source of this 1201-nucleotide long non-coding RNA. RefSeq lists it as uncharacterized. NCBI's taxonomy places the organism in Eukaryota, Metazoa, Chordata, Mammalia, Rodentia, Octodontidae. The record is from RefSeq and is a predicted model, not a curated record. The transcript is spliced from 3 exons.